GACGAACGCUGGCGGCGUGCUUAACACAUGCAAGUCGAACGGAAAGGCCUGCUUUCCCUUGUGGAUUGCGGGUACUCGAGUGGCGAACGGGUGAGUAACACGUGAGUGAUCUGCCCCCAACUUGGGUAUAAGCCUGGGAAACUGGGUCUAAUUCCCGAUAGGACUGCAGGGUGGUGCCUGUGGUGGAAAACGAUUUUCUAGUGGUUGGGGAUGAGCUCGCGGCCUAUCAGCUUGUUGGUGGGGUAAUGGCCUACCAAGGCGGCGACGGGUAGCCGGCCUGAGAGGGUGGACGGCCACAUUGGGACUGAGAUACGGCCCAGACUCCGACGGGAGGCAGCAGUGGGGAAUAUUGCACAAUGGGCGGAAGCCUGAUGCAGCGACGCCGCGUGGGGGAUGACGACCUUCGGGUUGUAAACUCCUUUCGACCGCGAGGAAGCCACCUGGUUGGAAGGGUGGUGACGGUAGUGGUAGAAGAAGCACCGGCUAACUACGUG
This 494-nucleotide ribosomal RNA is filed under the name uncultured bacterium. RNAcentral describes it as "partial 16S ribosomal RNA". It matches the Rfam family "Bacterial small subunit ribosomal RNA", at positions 28 to 507 of the family's 1533-position model. The record is from RNAcentral.